RNAcentral lists this ribosomal RNA (213 nucleotides) under uncultured prokaryote. RNAcentral describes it as "partial 16S ribosomal RNA". It matches the Rfam family "Bacterial small subunit ribosomal RNA", at positions 524 to 736 of the family's 1533-position model. The record is from RNAcentral.
UACGUAGGGUGCGAGCGUUAAUCGGAAUUACUGGGCGUAAAGCGUGCGUAGGCGGUUCCGCAAGUCCGCUGUGAAAUCCCCGGGCUUAACCUGGGAAUGGCAGUGGAAACUAUGGGACUUGAAUCCGGCAGAGGGGGGUGGAAUGCCACGUGUAGCAGUGAAAUGCGUAGAGAUGUGGCGGAACACCGAUGGCGAAGGCAGCCCCCUGGGCCG